UACAUGGGGUGCAAACGUUGCUCGGAAUCAUUGGGCGUAAAGCGCGCGUAGGCGGUUACUUAAGUCGAAUGUGAAAGCCCUCGGCUUAACCGAGGAAGUGCAUCCGAAACUGAGUAGCUAGAGUACGAAAGAGGGUCGCGGAAUUCCCGGUGUAGAGGUGAAAUUCGUAGAUAUUCGGAAGAACACCAGUGGCGAAGGCGGCUCACUGGACCGGUAUCGACGCUGAGGUGCGAAAGCGUGGGGAGCAAACAGG
RNAcentral lists this ribosomal RNA (253 nucleotides) under uncultured bacterium. RNAcentral's name for it is "partial 16S ribosomal RNA". It matches the Rfam family "Bacterial small subunit ribosomal RNA", at positions 524 to 776 of the family's 1533-position model. The record is from RNAcentral.